RNAcentral lists this long non-coding RNA (459 nucleotides) under Trifolium pratense (red clover). RNAcentral's name for it is "long non-coding RNA (TPRA_LNC007550)". The record is from RNAcentral. Lineage: Eukaryota; Viridiplantae; Streptophyta; Magnoliopsida; Fabales; Fabaceae.
AAAUUGUGACAACUCAUAACAACCAAAGUUCUAAUUUUUUUUUCAUUUUCUAAUAAAAUAUAAAUCUUUAAUUUUGGGAUUUGAGAACCCGACCAUUUCUCUGUUAUCAUCUUUCAUCCAUUUCUUCAUCCAUGGUUUAACUUCAUCAUCAAUGAUUCUCAUUUUUUCGAAUUUCUUCUUAUAAUUAUACUUUCCAGUUUCCACCCUAAGCUCCAACAACCUAUUUCACCAAUCUCCCUUGCAUAUAAACUGGGUCCUCUUUCUUUAAUUUUACUGUUCAUGAAAAUAACAAAAAAAUUUAAAAACAACUACAAAAAUUUUCAAUCUUUCAAUUCCUAACAAUGACAACGGGGUCGGCAUCCAACAUUUGAGAAGGAUUUUUUAUGGAAGUUUCCAAUAAGCAUAAUACCCAAAUCCACCAUGCCUCUUCUCACAUGCAGUGAGUGAUUUCUUGAUUUU